This 600-nucleotide ribosomal RNA is filed under the name uncultured archaeon. RNAcentral describes it as "bacterial SSU rRNA". It matches the Rfam family "Archaeal small subunit ribosomal RNA", at positions 70 to 685 of the family's 1478-position model. The record is from RNAcentral.
AAGAGUGUAGUGCGGACUGCUCAGUAAUACAUAGCUAACCUGCCCUUAGGUCUUUCAUAAUCUCGGGAAACUGAGGAUAAAGGAAGAUAGGAUAGAAAUUCUGGAACGAGUCUAUUUGAACUAAGGAUGGGGCUAUGCCUGAUUAGGUUGUUGUUAGGGGUAAUGGCCCAACAAGCCUAUAAUCCGUACCGGUGGUGAGAGCUAGAGCCGGGAGAUGGAUUCUGAGACAUGAAUCCAGGCCCUACGGGGCGCAGCAGGCGCGCAACCUUUACACUGUACGAAAGUGCGAUAGGGGGAUUCUAAGUGCUUAUCAGCAAUGGUAAGCUUUUGCCAAGACAAAAACCCUUGGCGAAUAAGUGGUGGGUAAUACGGGUGGCAGCCGCCGCGGUAAUACCCGAGCCACAAGUGGUGACCAUUUUUAUUGGGUUUAAAGCAUCCGUAGCCGGCCUUACAAGUCUCUGAUUAAAUCUCUCGUUAACCGGGAGGCCGUUAGAGAUACUAUAAGGCUAGGAACCAGGAGAGGUCUGGGGUACUUUUGGGGUAGGGGUGAAAUCCGUUGAUCCUAAAGGGACCACCGAUGGCGAAGGCACCAGACUAGAA